This 379-nucleotide ribosomal RNA is filed under the name Dothideomycetes sp. 2294 RO-2014. Its description in RNAcentral is "LSU rRNA". It matches the Rfam family "Eukaryotic large subunit ribosomal RNA", at positions 138 to 522 of the family's 3401-position model. Lineage: Eukaryota; Fungi; Ascomycota; Dothideomycetes. The record is from RNAcentral.
CCGCAUUGUAAUUUGUAGAGGAUGCUUUGGGUGAAACGCCAGUCUAAGUUCCUUGGAACAGGACGUCAUAGAGGGUGAGAAUCCCGUAUGUGACUGGAAAUGUUAACCUAUGUAAAGCUCCUUCGACGAGUCGAGUUGUUUGGGAAUGCAGCUCUAAAUGGGAGGUAAAUUUCUUCUAAAGCUAAAUAUUGGCGAGAGACCGAUAGCGCACAAGUAGAGUGAUCGAAAGAUGAAAAGCACUUUGGAAAGAGAGUUAAAAAGCACGUGAAAUUGUUGAAAGGGAAGCGCUUGCAAUCAGACUUGUUUAAACUGUUCGGCCGGUCUUCUGACCGGUUUACUCAGUUUGGACAGGCCAGCAUCAGUUUCGGCGGCCGGAUAA